RNAcentral lists this transfer RNA (74 nucleotides) under Clostridium sp. CAG:1193. RNAcentral's name for it is "transfer RNA-Thr(GGT)". It matches the Rfam family "tRNA". From Rfam's summary of the family: Transfer RNA (tRNA) molecules are approximately 80 nucleotides in length. Their secondary structure includes four short double-helical elements and three loops (D, anti-codon, and T loops). The record is from RNAcentral. RNAcentral also lists the same sequence under 1 other name. Lineage: Bacteria; Bacillati; Bacillota; Clostridia; Eubacteriales; Clostridiaceae.
GCCGAUUUAGUUUAGUGGUAAAACAUAUGCAUGGUAAGCAUAAAAGGACUGUUCAAUUCAGUCAUUCGGCACCA